This 1346-nucleotide ribosomal RNA is filed under the name uncultured bacterium. RNAcentral describes it as "partial 16S ribosomal RNA". It matches the Rfam family "Bacterial small subunit ribosomal RNA", at positions 28 to 1381 of the family's 1533-position model. The record is from RNAcentral.
GACGAACGCUGGCGGCGUGCUUAACACGUGCAAGUCGAACGGAAAGGCCCUGCUUUUGUGGGGUGCUCGAGUGGCGAACGGGUGAGUAACACGUGAGUAACCUGCCCUUGACUUUGGGAUAACUUCAGGAAACUGGGGCUAAUACCGGAUAGGAGCUCCUGCUGCAUGGUGGGGGUUGGAAAGUUUCGGCGGUUGGGGAUGGACUCGCGGCUUAUCAGCUUGUUGGUGGGGUAGUGGCUUACCAAGGCUUUGACGGGUAGCCGGCCUGAGAGGGUGACCGGCCACAUUGGGACUGAGAUACGGCCCAGACUCCUACGGGAGGCAGCAGUGGGGAAUAUUGCACAAUGGGCGGAAGCCUGAUGCAGCAACGCCGCGUGCGGGAUGACGGCCUUCGGGUUGUAAACCGCUUUCGCCUGUGACGAAGCGUGAGUGACGGUAAUGGGUAAAGAAGCACCGGCUAACUACGUGCCAGCAGCCGCGGUGAUACGUAGGGUGCGAGCGUUGUCCGGAUUUAUUGGGCGUAAAGGGCUCGUAGGUGGUUGAUCGCGUCGGAAGUGUAAUCUUGGGGCUUAACCCUGAGCGUGCUUUCGAUACGGGUUGACUUGAGGAAGGUAGGGGAGAAUGGAAUUCCUGGUGGAGCGGUGGAAUGCGCAGAUAUCAGGAGGAACACCAGUGGCGAAGGCGGUUCUCUGGGCCUUUCCUGACGCUGAGGAGCGAAAGCGUGGGGAGCGAACAGGCUUAGAUACCCUGGUAGUCCACGCUGUAAACGGUGGGUACUAGGUGUGGGGUCCAUUCCACGGGUUCCGUGCCGUAGCUAACGCUUUAAGUACCCCGCCUGGGGAGUACGGCCGCAAGGCUAAAACUCAAAGGAAUUGACGGGGCCCCGCACAAGCGGCGGAGCAUGCGGAUUAAUUCGAUGCAACGCGUAGAACCUUACCUGGGUUUGACAUGGAUCGGGAGUGCUCAGAGAUGGGUGUGCCUCUUUUGGGGUCGGUUCACAGGUGGUGCAUGGCUGUCGUCAGCUCGUGUCGUGAGAUGUUGGGUUAAGUCCCGCAACGAGCGCAACCCUUGUUCACUGUUGCCAGCACGUUAUGGUGGGGACUCAGUGGAGACCGCCGGGGUCAACUCGGAGGAAGGUGGGGAUGACGUCAAGUCAUCAUGCCCCUUAUGUCCAGGGCCUCACGCAUGCUACAAUGGCUGGUACAGAGAGUGGCGAGCCUGUGAGGGUGAGCGAAUCUCGGAAAGCCGGUCUCAGUUCGGAUUGGGGUCUGCAACUCGACCUCAUGAAGUCGGAGUCGCUAGUAAUCGCAGAUCAGCAACGCUGCGGUGAAUACGUUCCCGGGGCU